This 215-nucleotide long non-coding RNA is filed under the name Homo sapiens (human). RNAcentral's name for it is "non-protein coding lnc-ESD-1:1". The record is from RNAcentral. Lineage: Eukaryota; Metazoa; Chordata; Mammalia; Primates; Hominidae.
ACAAAGGUAUAUACAAAGAUACACACAAGAGAAGGGGGAAGUGCUACACACUUUUAAACAACCAGUGAGAACUCAGUAUCACAAGAACAGCAAGGGGGAAGUCCAUCCCCAUGAUCCAAUCACCUCCCACCAGGCUCCUCCUCCAAACCCACACAUUUGGUCACAGAAGACUUCUGUGUUGACAACUGCUGUGGUGUGAGAGUAGAGGAAAAACA